GGUGAGGUGGCCGAGUGGCUGAAGGCGCGCCCCUGCUAAGGGUGUAUAGGGGAGACUCUAUCGAGGGUUCGAAUCCCUCCCUCACCGCCA
RNAcentral lists this transfer RNA (90 nucleotides) under Osedax symbiont Rs2. RNAcentral's name for it is "tRNA-Ser". It matches the Rfam family "tRNA". Rfam says of the family: Transfer RNA (tRNA) molecules are approximately 80 nucleotides in length. Their secondary structure includes four short double-helical elements and three loops (D, anti-codon, and T loops). The record is from RNAcentral. Lineage: Bacteria; Pseudomonadati; Pseudomonadota; Gammaproteobacteria; Oceanospirillales; Oceanospirillaceae. RNAcentral also lists the same sequence under 4 other names.